AUUGAACGCUGGCGGCAUGCUUUACACAUGCAAGUCGAACGGCAGCACGGGGGCAACCCUGGUGGCGAGUGGCGAACGGGUGAGUAGCACAUCGGAACGUGCCCAGUUGUGGGGGAUAACCUAUCGAAAGGUAGGCUAAUACCGCAUGAGCUCGGCAAGAGGAAAGCGGGGGACUCAGCGAUGGGCCUCGCGCGACUGGAGCGGCCGAUGUCCGAUUAGCUAGUUGGUGGGGUAAAGGCUUACCAAGGCGACGAUCGGUAGCUGGUCUGAGAGGAUGAUCAGCCACACUGGGACUGAGACACGGCCCAGACUCCUACGGGAGGCAGCAGUGGGGAAUUUUGGACAAUGGGGCAACCCUGAUCCAGCCAUGCCGCGUGAGUGAAGAAGGCCUGGUUGUAAGUAC
Molecule: ribosomal RNA, 403 nt
Filed under: uncultured bacterium
Lineage: Bacteria
Description: bacterial SSU rRNA
Rfam family: Bacterial small subunit ribosomal RNA
Source: RNAcentral